This 1499-nucleotide long non-coding RNA is filed under the name Monodelphis domestica (gray short-tailed opossum). Its description in RNAcentral is "lncRNA (ENSMODG00000044646.1)". The record is from RNAcentral. Lineage: Eukaryota; Metazoa; Chordata; Mammalia; Didelphimorphia; Didelphidae.
AGCUUCGGACCUCUUGUGUUGGAGCGGUGGAGCGGCAUUAGGCGUGAGGGAUGAAGGCCAGCGUAUUCCGGCUGCCCCCUCCUUGCAGCACUAAAGAAUCUCGGGGGAGCCGGAAAGGGCGAUGACGUUUGGAGAAGCCCUGGGGCAUUCUUGGCUGCCCGGCCACAGAGUCUCUGCCAAUACUUUUUCCUCUUCUAGAAAUAUAGUUGGUGACCGAAAGAGCAAGCACAAGAGCGUCCUCUCUGCACAAGGCAUGGGAACGGGGAGCUUGAAAGAGCUAAUGACCCCCAAGCCACAUGGAAGGCAAGGGGCCACUGGAGCAGUUUCACUGGUGCCAGGCACUUCUGGAACCCAGGUUGGGCGAGGUUCUUCCAACAGUGCAGACCCCUUGGUCCGUUCACCUUUCCUUUCUCCCUCUCUUGCUUCGUUAAAGACACGGAUCCAUUUUGGAGCUCUGAUGCUUCCCGUUCCUUUUGGACUGAUCCUAGGAUCUCCUUGAUAUAGGGGAACAUCCUGUUGAGGAUGCUCACUCUAACAAUGAAAGUGGGUACCUCCCCCGGUAUGUAUCAUUUUAAAGAAAUCCAUGAUGCUGAGAAGCAAAAGCGAUAGGAGCAAGUUAUAUAGCAAGUAUGUGCCAAAGGAUGGACUUGAACUCGGGUUUUCCUGGAUAUGGGAUCGUUCCUUUGCCCAUUACACCAAGAGUCUUUCUGACUCCAAGGCCAGCUCUCCAAACAUUACAUGAUGCAUCCUCCGCUCUCGAACCCUGUUAACUACAAAUCUGAUAUUGGUACCAGCAGCCUUCAGGUUGACUUUAGAAUCUUCAUUAAAAAAGACUCUGGGCAAUGCUUUGCUCUUUAAUCUCCAAGAAGGGACCAAUAGAACCUGGGAAAAUGCUAACUCUCUUCCAUUUCCUCUCAGUGUGUAUGCUUCCUUUCUUCACAGUAAGAAUUUCACUAAAGCUCUAUUCCUCAUUUAAAGUCCUUCUCUGGUAGUUGAGAUGAUUUGGUUCUGGGCUAAAAUGCUCCUGAAGGAAGAGUUCGACAUCUUUCUCCUGUGUGCUUGAUCUGCCUGGAGGAGAGUGUUCCCCAUAAGUGGAAACCCACUUUGUCAUAUGGCAGUGUAUUGGCUGUGUAUCCCUAACUUCGAGGAGAUGCUUGCUCAGGUGCAAAGGGUUUGAAGGACAAUCUCCCUAGAUGUUUUAGUAUCAAGUUCAGGACAUCCUGAAUAGACAGGACUCUGAGAAAUAAUAUCAGCAAAGUGCACCCUUGGGAGUAAAAUUUAAUUAUUGUCAGGAAGAAAUAGGGUCUGGGAAAGUCUUGUUAAAAUAUCAAUCUGGUUGCUUGGCCUCAAGUAAUGAUCAUUGUUAACGUCUAUUCCUAUUCCUAAGAUUGUUUACAUGUUUUGAUCUGUUCUGGUCAAGCCUUUGAAGGAGUAAGUGAAGGGAAAAAUGUUUGUACAGCUCCUACUGUGUGCUAGACACUGUGCUAAAUUCAUUACAC